This 939-nucleotide long non-coding RNA is filed under the name Marmota monax (woodchuck). Lineage: Eukaryota; Metazoa; Chordata; Mammalia; Rodentia; Sciuridae. The record is from RNAcentral.
CUAGGAUUAGAGCUAGGGUUAAUUUCAGAUCUAAGAUGCAGUUAGGGAUAGUUUUAGGGUUAGGUUUAAGCCUAGGUCUAAAGUAAAGUUUAAGUUUCUUGUUAGGGUCAGGUUUAGACCUAUGGGUAUUAGUAGAGUCAAUGUCAUUUUAGGGUUUGGGUUAGGUUAAGGUUUAGGUUUAGGGCUCAAAUUAGUCUUAUGUUUAGAGAUCAAGUAAUGACACAGUUAGGUUUAGGGUUCAGUUUAAGUGUAGGUUAAUGGAGAGGGUUAAGGCUAGUGCAAGGAUUAGGGUUCCACCUAGGGUUAGCAUAAGGAUUAUAGUUAUCUUAGGGUAAUGAAUAGGGUUAGAGCUAGGAUUAGGGCUAGGGUUAUGGUUAGGAUUAGGUCUAGGGUUAGGCUUAGGGUUAUGGUUAGGGCUAGAGUUAUUGUUAGGGUUAUGUUUAGUGUUAAAGCUAAGGUAGUGCUUGGAUUAGGGCUAGCUUUUGUGAUAGGUUAAGACUAUGGCUAAUGUAAGAACUAGUGUAAUUAUUAGGACUAGUUUUAUUAUUAAUGCUAUGGCUAGAUGUAGUUUUAGGGUUAGUUUCAGAGUUAGGGUGAAGUUUAGAGCUAGGGUUAGUGUUAGUGUCAGGGACAGUGUUCAGGUAGGGUAAUGGUUAGGGUUAAAGCCAGAAUUAGGACUAGGAUUAGGUCUAGAGGUAGGGUUAGAGUUUGGGUUAGGUUAAGGGUUAUUGUUAAGGCUACAUCUAGUUUGUCUUUAGGUCUAGAGCUAUUGUUAUGGCUAGAUUUAGGAUUAGGUUUAGGUCUAGGUCUAGUAUUAGGGGUAGGUUUAGUUAUAAGGUUACCAGUAGGUCUAGUGUUAGGGUUCGGUUUAGGGUUAGAUUUAGAUUUAGACCUAAGAUUAGUGUUAGGGUCAGAAUAAUGGUCAGGGAUAAGGUUAGG